This 913-nucleotide long non-coding RNA is filed under the name Gallus gallus (chicken). RNAcentral's name for it is "long non-coding RNA NONGGAT003596". The record is from RNAcentral. Lineage: Eukaryota; Metazoa; Chordata; Aves; Galliformes; Phasianidae.
CUCAGAGGGUGGCAUGGUCCUGGCACUGUUUCCCAGGACACAACUCUGGGCAGCUAUCACCUUCCAUCAUCCAACCCCAGCGCUUGAGGUGGCAGAGGGAGAGCUGCCCCAUGCCUUGCUCAAAGGGGAGCGGCCUCGUUGCACUCCUCCAGCCCCUCACUACUGCCCUCCCCAAGUCACUGACCGCAGUGGGAGGCCCCACAGAGAGCUGGUCAACAGCAGGGUCAAGGUCCAGGCAGGGGGAGCUCAGAGGCAUCGGGCAGCUGAGCUGUGCCCCACACAGCACCAUGAAGCUGGGGCUGCUCUGCGCCCUCGCCAUGGCCCUCCUGGCCAUGGCCAUGGCUGACCUCAAAGACUCCAAGAAGGGAAAAAUGCUCACAUGGAACAGAGAGGUUGGUGGUGGGUGAAGGGAAGGGUUCAAAGAUGGCAAAUAACGGUCAGGAAGGGAGGGAGACUGUGGGGAAGUGUUGUGAGGAGGGGGGCGGCACCAAAUGUGGCACAGCAUUGCAGGAAGCAAGCCCCCCACACCGUCCCCCAAGGGGCACCAUCUGCUGUCACCAGUACCCUGCACUGGGCAGGUGAGGGCCCUGGAAAGCUGCUGUCUCCAUCCCAGUGCCCUGUGCUGCUCUGGGCAGGGGUGGCCCAGAGGAAGGGCUAGGGAGAACGAGGUGUGGCCAAGCCCUUCACUCCGAGGGGCUGUGCUAUGGGGGGAGCCCUGGGGCAUCCCGGGGCUCUUUGCUCCCCAAAGCACUGUGACCACUUGCACAACUAGCAAACAUUUCAUCAGGGCUUGGCAAGGGGCUGAGAAGGGGGAGGAGGGCUGCUGUCUCGGGUCCAGAAAGGUGCCAUCCCCUCCACCUCCUCCCCAUCCUCCCUCCACCAUCCCACUUGCUGCCGUACACCUCAGCUCUGC